UUUCGGGACCUGUGCGGCAGGAACGCCGUGAACCGGGUCAGAUGGGGAACCAAGCAGCCCUAAGCGGCGAACCUGGGCGCUGUAGGACCACCUG
This 94-nucleotide signal recognition particle RNA is filed under the name Lentisphaerota bacterium. RNAcentral describes it as "Lentisphaerae bacterium signal recognition particle sRNA small type". It matches the Rfam family "Bacterial small signal recognition particle RNA". From Rfam's summary of the family: The signal recognition particle (SRP) is a universally conserved ribonucleoprotein involved in the co-translational targeting of proteins to membranes. The record is from RNAcentral. Lineage: Bacteria; Pseudomonadati; Lentisphaerota.